AAAAGAAUCAUUCCUUGUUGCUCUCAGUCCUCAAUAGUUAUACAACAACUCAACAACAGAAAAAUCAUUGUAACUCAACACUCAUCUGACUAAUAGCAUGAUUUUGUUUUUAUUGAUACGACUGUGAGAAAGAAAUCUUGAGAAAAAAUUAUACAAGUGAAUAACAUUUUUAAGUAUAAAUUAAACGUCACUGGGUUCGGUCGAUUAAGGCGGAACGGGUUUCAAAUCCCAAUACAUCUGCUGAGUACCUAUUGGCUAUUAGUAGCGUAAUAACAUUAGCACACAAAAUUAUAAACCUGUAAUGAACUUGUACGAGUGAUAUAAGUCUCCCGUGGUUGAUAACCGCCAUUACAUGAGUGGAACACCGAGGAGUAUUCAAGUAAAUGUUAUCAUAUCUACGUUAAAUGGGAUAUAAUUUCAUGAAAAUAGUCCUAUUCACCGUUGACAACAAUCAUACAAGUUUAAUUGAUCGUAAAAGAAACACCUGAACACUAAUAGAAUACUUGCGCUUGUUUAAUUGAGUUGUAAAAUAGAAUUAAGAAAAAC
Daktulosphaira vitifoliae (grape phylloxera) is the source of this 546-nucleotide long non-coding RNA. RefSeq lists it as uncharacterized. The transcript is spliced from 4 exons. The record is from RefSeq and is a predicted model, not a curated record. Lineage: Eukaryota; Metazoa; Arthropoda; Insecta; Hemiptera; Phylloxeridae.